UGCGUAGGCGGGCUAAUAAGUCAGUGGUGAAAUCUCUCGGCUCAACCGGGAAACUGCCAUUGAUACUGUUAGUCUUGAGUUCGGUUGAGGUAGGCGGAAUGUGUAAUGUAGCGGUGAAAUGCUUAGAUAUUACACAGAACACCAAUUGCGUAGGCAGCUUACUAGACCGACACUGACGCUGAGGCACGAAAGCGUGGGGUGCGAACAGGAUUAGAUACCCUGGUAGUCC
Molecule: ribosomal RNA, 229 nt
Filed under: uncultured bacterium
Lineage: Bacteria
Description: partial 16S ribosomal RNA
Rfam family: Bacterial small subunit ribosomal RNA
Source: RNAcentral